Molecule: ribosomal RNA, 440 nt
Filed under: uncultured bacterium
Lineage: Bacteria
Description: partial 16S ribosomal RNA
Rfam family: Bacterial small subunit ribosomal RNA
Source: RNAcentral
CCUACGGGUGGCUGCAGUGGGGAAUAUUGCACAAUGGGGGAAACCCUGAUGCAGCGACGCCGCGUGAGUGAAGAAGUAUUUCGGUAUGUAAAGCUCUAUCAGCAGGGAAGCAAAUGACGGUACCUGAUUCAGAAGCCCCGGCUAACUACGUGACAGCAGCCGCGGUAAUACGUAGGGGGCAAGCGUUAUCCGGAUUUACUGGGUGUAAAGGGGGCGUAGACGGCAGCGCAGGUCUGAAGUGAAAUGCCGGGGCUUAACCCCGGAACUGCUUUGGAAACUGUGCAGAUAGAGUGCAGGAGAGGUAAGUGGAAUUCCUAGUGUAGCGGUGAAAUGCGUAGAUAUUAGGAGGAACACCAGUGGCGAAGGCGGCUUACUGGACUGUAACUGACGUUGAGGCUCGAAAGUGUGGGUAUCAAACAGGAUUAGAUACCCUAGUAGUC